RNAcentral lists this ribosomal RNA (292 nucleotides) under uncultured bacterium. RNAcentral describes it as "partial 16S ribosomal RNA". It matches the Rfam family "Bacterial small subunit ribosomal RNA", at positions 505 to 796 of the family's 1533-position model. The record is from RNAcentral.
GUGCCAGCAGCCGCGGUAAUACGUAGGGCGCAAGCGUUGUCCGGAUUUAUUGGGCGUAAAGAGCUCGUAGGUGGUUUGUCGCGUCUGCUGUGAAAACCCGAGGCUCAACCUCGGGCCUGCAGUGGGUACGGGCAGACUAGAGUGCGGUAGGGGAGACUGGAAUUCCUGGUGUAGCGGUGGAAUGCGCAGAUAUCAGGAGGAACACCGAUGGCGAAGGCAGGUCUCUGGGCCGCAACUGACACUGAGGAGCGAAAGCAUGGGGAGCGAACAGGAUUAGAAACCCGGGUAGUCC